Molecule: ribosomal RNA, 315 nt
Filed under: uncultured eukaryote
Lineage: Eukaryota
Description: partial 18S ribosomal RNA
Rfam family: Eukaryotic small subunit ribosomal RNA
Source: RNAcentral
CCCUUAGAUGUCCUGGGCCGCACGCGUGCUACACUGACACUUGCAACGAGUACUUUGCUUUACCGAAAGGUAAUGCUAAUCAUCAAUAAGUGUCGUGAUGGGGAUAGAUCUUUGGAAUUAUGGAUCUUGAACGAGGAAUGCCUAGUAAGCGUAGGUCAUUAGCCUACGCUGAUUAAGUCCCUGCCCUUUGUACACACCGCCCGUCGCUCCUACCGAUUUCGAGUGGUCCGGUGAAACUUUUGGACCGUGCGACUUUAUUGUUGUCACGGAAAGUCAGUUAAACCAUACUACUUAGAGGAAGGAGANGUCGUAACA